GGGUGCUGAGAAAAUUUUGUCAAUGAAUGAAUCAGGAGAACUGCAAGACCUCUUAACCAAAAUUGAGAGAGUGCAGCAUCCACACGAGUGUCGUUCCUGUGGAGGUUUUGGCUUUCUUCCGUGCUCCGUGUGCCAUGGGAGCAAGAUGUCAGUAUUUCGAAAUUGCUUUACAGACUCUUUCAAGGCCUUGAAGUGUACAGCUUGCAAUGAGAAUGGUCUUCAGCGUUGUAAGAACUGUGCUGGUUAAUUGGGGCUUCUACCCUGAAAAGCCUCAUUUUAUGAAUUAAAGGCUAUAAUUUGGUUUAUACUUUUUUUUAAAAAAACAAAGUUAUGUUUUGGAUUAAUCAAUAAAGUUUGUAUAUUAUAA
This is a non-coding RNA of Castor canadensis (American beaver), 367 nucleotides long. Lineage: Eukaryota; Metazoa; Chordata; Mammalia; Rodentia; Castoridae. The record is from RefSeq and is a predicted model, not a curated record.